This 117-nucleotide ribosomal RNA is filed under the name Paramormyrops kingsleyae. Lineage: Eukaryota; Metazoa; Chordata; Actinopteri; Osteoglossiformes; Mormyridae. The record is from RNAcentral.
GUCAGCAGUCAUACUACCUCCAGUUCAGACUAGGUAAUCCAUCUGAAGCUAAGUGGGUUUGGGUCUGGACAGUAUAUGGAUGGGAGACCAACUAUAAAAGCCGGGUAUCUAUCGGUG